GAUGAACGCUGGCGGCGUGCCUAAUACAUGCAAGUCGAGCGAACGGACGAGAAGCUUGCUUCUCUGAUGUUAGCGGCGGACGGGUGAGUAACACGUGGAUAACCUACCUAUAAGACUGGGAUAACUUCGGGAAACCGGAGCUAAUACCGGAUGAUAUUUUGAACCGCAUGGUUCAAAAGUGAAAGACGGUCUUGCUGUCACUUAUAGAUGGAUCCGCGCUGCAUUAGCUAGUUGGUAAGGUAACGGCUUACCAAGGCAACGAUGCAUAGCCGACCUGAGAGGGUGAUGGGCCACACGAGAAGAGAGACAGGCCCCAUACCCCUGCGGGAGGACGAGGGGGGGAAUCUUCCGGAAGGGGGGAAGGCCGAACGGAGCACCCCGGCGGGAAUUAUGAAGGUCUGCGGAUCGUAAAAUUCUGUUAUUGGGAAAAAACAUAUGUGAAAUAAGCUGUGCACAUCUUGACGGUACCUAAGCAAAAAGCCCCGGCUAACUACGUG
This 497-nucleotide ribosomal RNA is filed under the name uncultured bacterium. RNAcentral describes it as "partial 16S ribosomal RNA". It matches the Rfam family "Bacterial small subunit ribosomal RNA", at positions 28 to 507 of the family's 1533-position model. The record is from RNAcentral.